CCCCAUUCCACCAGGAACUUUGACCAAGAAGUUCUCGCCAGAUACGCAAACGGCACAGGUCGCCACUCACCAGCAACAUUGACGGACCAAGAAAGAAUUGCUCGGGAGCAGGUACGUGGAAACUAUCCAGGCCAGUCAUGGUAAACCAUAAAUAGGGCCAUAGAGGGGCAGGGCAGUGCAGACACACCCACACACCCAUUCCUGCAGGCAGCAACAGACAGCGCACAGAGAAACGAAGGCUCUGCUAGACUGCUAUGGCGGCCAAAGCUCAAAUUUCCCUCUGCGUGCUCGUUGUUUUCCUCUUCCUCCUCGUCGCCACGGAAUUUGCUGCUGCUAGGGAACUAGCUGGGAGCGGUAUUGUUUACUGGAACCUCUCAUUCUCUAAUUCCUUCCUUUGUACUCAGUCAAAUUCUCUCAUCCCUCCCUGUCCCUCUCUCUGAAUUCAUGCUUGAUUAUUUGCUUGAUUCAGAUGGCAGCGGUAACUACGGGGGCGGCCUGGCUCCACCGGGCGCGAGUUAUCCAACCACUCCAUUUCCACCGUACUAGGUCGGAGAACCAGUAUACGAUAUGAACACGGCCAUGUAUUUCUUAAUAAACGACCUGUACGCACACUUAUGUACCUCUCCACCUACAUGUAAGCAGAGCUUGUGAUCUCCCUGCGAAGUGGACUAUGGAUACCAGAUUACCGGAUCCGUCGUGGAUAUCACGGCGGUCGAACUAUUAAUUAAUUGAGAUUUUUGCCAGAAAUCAUUACCUUGUGGAGUAUAAUACAUUUCUCUGAUUAAAUGUGUCAUAUCCGUUGCCUAGUUUAGGCCAGAAUUGGCGUGUGAUAUACUCCAUCCAUCCGAAAAUAUGUGAAUUGAAUUUAUGUAAGAGAUACACAGCGAUCUGACACGAGCAGAAGUGUUUUAUAACAAGAGAUUUCACAUCCAC
Molecule: long non-coding RNA, 933 nt
Filed under: Brachypodium distachyon (stiff brome)
Lineage: Eukaryota; Viridiplantae; Streptophyta; Magnoliopsida; Poales; Poaceae
Description: long non-coding RNA (BDIS_LNC001883)
Source: RNAcentral